This 255-nucleotide ribosomal RNA is filed under the name uncultured Actinomycetales bacterium. RNAcentral describes it as "partial 16S ribosomal RNA". It matches the Rfam family "Bacterial small subunit ribosomal RNA", at positions 78 to 334 of the family's 1533-position model. Lineage: Bacteria; Bacillati; Actinomycetota; Actinomycetes; Actinomycetales. The record is from RNAcentral.
UUUUGUGGGGUGCUCGAGUGGCGAACGGGUAAGUAACACGUGAGUAACCUGCCCUUGACUUUGGGAUAACUUCAGGAAACUGGGGCUAAUACCGGAUAGGAGCUCCUGCUGCAUGGUGGGGGUUGGAAAGUUUCGGCGGUUGGGGAUGGACUCGCGGCUUAUCAGCUUGUUGGUGGGGUAGUGGCUUACCAAGGCUUUGACGGGUAGCCGGCCUGAGAGGGUGACCGGCCACAUUGGGACUGAGAUACGGCCCAG